RNAcentral lists this ribosomal RNA (732 nucleotides) under uncultured Staphylococcus sp. RNAcentral describes it as "bacterial SSU rRNA". It matches the Rfam family "Bacterial small subunit ribosomal RNA", at positions 46 to 760 of the family's 1533-position model. Lineage: Bacteria; Bacillati; Bacillota; Bacilli; Caryophanales; Staphylococcaceae. The record is from RNAcentral.
GCCUAAUACAUGCAAGUCGAGCGAACAGACGAGGAGCUUGCUUCUCUGACGUUAGCGGCGGACGGGUGAGUAACACGUGGAUAACCUACCUAUAAGACUGGGAUAACUUCGGGAAACCGGAGCUAAUACCGGAUAAUAUAUUGAACCGCAUGGUUCAAUAGUGAAAGACGGUUUUGCUGUCACUUAUAGAUGGAUCCGCGCCGCAUUAGCUAGUUGGUAAGGUAACGGCUCACCAAGGCAACGAUGCGUAGCCGACCUGAGAGGGUGAUCGGCCACACUGGAACUGAGACACGGUCCAGACUCCUACGGGAGGCAGCAGUAGGGAAUCUUCCGCAAUGGGCGAAAGCCUGACGGAGCAACGCCGCGUGAGUGGUGAAGGUCUUCGGAUCGUAAAACUCUGUUAUUAGGGAAGAACAAAUGUGUAAGUAACUAUGCACGUCUUGACGGUACCUAAUCAGAAAGCCACGGCUAACUACGUGCCAGCAGCCGCGGUAAUACGUAGGUGGCAAGCGUUAUCCGGAAUUAUUGGGCGUAAAGCGCGCGUAGGCGGUUUUUUAAGUCUGAUGUGAAAGCCCACGGCUCAACCGUGGAGGGUCAUUGGAAACUGGAAAACUUGAGUGCAGAAGAGGAAAGUGGAAUUCCAUGUGUAGCGGUGAAAUGCGCAGAGAUAUGGAGGAACACCAGUGGCGAAGGCGACUUUCUGGUCUGUAACUGACGCUGAUGUGCGAAAGA